RNAcentral lists this ribosomal RNA (495 nucleotides) under uncultured bacterium. RNAcentral's name for it is "partial 16S ribosomal RNA". It matches the Rfam family "Bacterial small subunit ribosomal RNA", at positions 28 to 523 of the family's 1533-position model. The record is from RNAcentral.
GACGAACGCUGGCGGCGUGCUUAACACAUGCAAGUCGAGCGAAGCACUUGGAACCGAUCCUUCGGGUGAAGUUCCAUUUGACUGAGCGGCGGACGGGUGAGUAACGCGUGGGUAGCCUGCCUCAUACAGGGGAAUAACAGUUUGAAAAGACUGCUAAUGCCGCAUAAGCGCACAGGGCCGCAUGGCCCGGUGUGAAAAACUCCGGUGGUAUGAGAUGGACCCGCGUCUGAUUAGCUAGUUGGUGAGGUAACGGCCCACCAAGGCGACGAUCAGUAGCCGACCUGAGAGGGUGACCGGCCACAUUGGGACUGAGACACGGCCCAAACUCCUACGGGAGGCAGCAGUGGGGAAUAUUGCACAAUGGGGGAAACCCUGAUGCAGCGACGCCGCGUGGAUGAAGAAGUAUUUCGGUAUGUAAAGUCCUAUCAGCAGGGAAGAAAAUGACAGUACCUGACUAAGAAGCCCCGGCUAACUACGUGCCAGCCGCCGCCGUAA